Molecule: small nucleolar RNA, 129 nt
Organism: Amphilophus citrinellus (Midas cichlid)
Lineage: Eukaryota; Metazoa; Chordata; Actinopteri; Cichliformes; Cichlidae
Source: Ensembl
UCCUCCUACAAAGGCGCACUUGCAUACGACUGCCUGCCUGUGCGUAAGAACUGGAGGAAUAUUAAAGUGAAUAGUGAUUCUUUUAUUGCUGGUUGCAUUUGCCACUGGCCCCUCGCUAUUCAUACACUG